CAUCCACCUCGAGGCAGAGGGGUGGGCAGAAGGACGGUCGGUGUUCAACUCUCUACGGUUCAAAACCAAGUCCAUCCAAGCCUCAAAGUAUAAAGAAGGCGCCUAGACACUCGAUGGGUGGUGUAAACCGUAGGGUGUCCAUUGGUGGAGCCACGAUGCAAGCAUCCAAAACAGACAUAUUGUAUACGAAGAAUGUUCAUGCUGCCAAGAGAAGUGAAGACAUUGCCCAUUUGUCCCCUGGUAAGCAUCUAUCAAGUUUGAGAGCUAUUUGUUGUGCUACAUAUAUAUCUUUGCUACAAGUCUCGAGAUUUACGUGGGCGGAGUAUCAGAAAAUUAGGGAACCAGUUUCUGACAUGAACUCUCUGUAAAACACUGUAUAUUCAAUAUUCAGACAUAGAAGCCUUGCUGUGGUAGAGAUCACAUCAAUUAGAGAUAAGGGAACUUCUUAAUCAUGCUUUAAUUUCUUAAACAAACAAGUUUUCUUUUCUAAUUUAUAUCCAACCAUAUUUAGUGGGUUUUAACUAUAGUUAAUUUCUGACAACCAGGCUGGUGUUACACUUUUGUUCAUAAUAGAAAAGGUUGUUGCUACAUUUGCAUCCAAUCCAACAAUGAAUUAAAAAGCGUGCAUGUUAUUUGGUUAUUGGCCUUUGUAAUUAAAAGAAUCAUGUUUAUGCAUUUAAGAAAAGGAUAUGUGCAUGGUACUGAACAAUGAGAAAAACACUGUCGACCAUAUCUCAAAUCAAGUUAUUUGGUGUAUUUCAGGGUGGGCGUGUAACUAGAGAACAAAACACUAUGGCGGCAAAUGAGACUAUCGAACCGAACUGAUUGUACUGAAAACUAGGACCUAAACUUGUG
This 855-nucleotide long non-coding RNA is filed under the name Triticum aestivum (bread wheat). RNAcentral's name for it is "long non-coding RNA (TAES_LNC017723)". Lineage: Eukaryota; Viridiplantae; Streptophyta; Magnoliopsida; Poales; Poaceae. The record is from RNAcentral.